GCCUUGCGCGCACCGGCGGACGGCUCAGUAACACGUCGGUAACCUACCCUCGGGAGGGGGAUAACCCCGGGAAACUGGGGCUAAUCCCCCAUAGGCCUGAGGUACUGGAAGGUCCUCAGACCGAAAGGGGCUUUGCCCGCCCGAGGAUGGGCCGGCGGCCGAUUAGGUAGUUGGUGGGGUAACGGCCCACCAAGCCGAAGAUCGGUACGGGCCAUGAGAGUGGGAGCCCGGAGAUGGACACUGAGACACGGGUCCAGGCCCUACGGGGCGCAGCAGGCGCGAAACCUCCGCAAUGCUCGAAAGAGCGACGGGGGGACCCCCAGUGCCGUGGCAUCGCCACGGCUUUUCCGGAGUGUAAAGAGCUCCGGGAAUAAGGGCUGGGCAAGGCCGGUGGCAGCCGCCGCGGUAAUACCGGCGGCCCGAGUGGUGGCCGCUAUUAUUGGGCCUAAAGCGUCCGUAGCCGGGCCAGUAAGUCCCUGGCGAAAUCCCACGGCUCAACCGUGGGGCUUGCUGGGGAUACUGCUGGCCUUGGGACCGGGAGAGGCGGAGGGUACUCCUGGGGUAGGGGUGAAAUCCUAUAAUCCCAGGAGGACCGCCAGUGGCGAAGGCGCUCCGCUGGAACGGGUCCGACGGUGAGGGACGAAGGCCAGGGGAGCGAACCGGAUUAAAUACCCGGGU
Molecule: ribosomal RNA, 678 nt
Filed under: uncultured archaeon
Lineage: Archaea
Description: bacterial SSU rRNA
Rfam family: Archaeal small subunit ribosomal RNA
Source: RNAcentral